GGGGGGGGGGGGGGGGGGGGUGGGGGGGGGGGGGGGGCGGGGGGGGCGGUGGCAGGGGCGGACGGGUGAGUGGGGCGUAGGAACGUGUCAUGAGGGGGGGGACAACCCCGGGAAACGGGGGGUAAUACCGCCUAUGGGCGGAGUCCCCCAGCCGCGGGGCGCCUUUGGAGCGGCCUGCGUCCGAUUAGGUAGUUGGUGGGGUAAAGGCCUACCAAGGCUGCGAUCGGUAGCUGGUCUGAGAGGACGACCAGCCACACUGGGACUGAGACACGGCCCAGACUCCUACGGGAGGCAGCAGUGGGGAAUAUUGGACAAUGGGCGAAAGCCUGAUCCAGCAAUGCCGGGUGGGUGAAGAAGGUCGUCGGAUCGUAAAGCCCUUUCGACGGGGACGAUGAUGACGGUACCCGUAGAAGAAGCCCCCGCUAAAUUCGUG
RNAcentral lists this ribosomal RNA (433 nucleotides) under uncultured bacterium. RNAcentral describes it as "partial 16S ribosomal RNA". It matches the Rfam family "Bacterial small subunit ribosomal RNA", at positions 39 to 507 of the family's 1533-position model. The record is from RNAcentral.